Molecule: long non-coding RNA, 227 nt
Filed under: Gossypium raimondii (Peruvian cotton)
Lineage: Eukaryota; Viridiplantae; Streptophyta; Magnoliopsida; Malvales; Malvaceae
Description: long non-coding RNA (GRAI_LNC006525)
Source: RNAcentral
UGAAGAUGCAGUAGGAUGGAAUGAGGCAACUCGAAGAAGAAGAGCACCAAGGUCCAGUACGACCGGGCAAAAUUGGCCUUUUUAAGUCUUUGCUCUAUUCUUGUUACACGACAAUGAGCAAAGAGGGGCAGCUGUAAUGGCCCAAUAUUGCCCGGCCCAAUAUAAAUAAUACAAACCAAAAAUAUUAAUAAGAAAAUGUCCAAAUACAUAAGGCCUAACGGGGCCCA